RNAcentral lists this ribosomal RNA (497 nucleotides) under uncultured bacterium. RNAcentral's name for it is "partial 16S ribosomal RNA". It matches the Rfam family "Bacterial small subunit ribosomal RNA", at positions 28 to 507 of the family's 1533-position model. The record is from RNAcentral.
GAUGAACGCUGGCGGCGUGCCUAAUACAUGCAAGUCGAGCGAACGGACGAGAAGCUUGCUUCUCUGAUGUUAGCGGCGGACGGGUGAGUAACACGUGGAUAACCUACCUAUAAGACUGGGAUAACUUCGGGAAACCGGAGCUAAUACCGGAUAAUAUUUUGAACCGCAUGGUUCAAAAGUGAAAGACGGUCUUGCUGUCACUUAUAGAUGGAUCCGCGCUGCAUUAGCUAGUUGGUAAGGUAACGGCUUACCAAGGCAACGAUGCAUAGCCUACCUGAGAGGGUGAUCGGCCACACUGGAACUGAGACACGGUCCAGACACCUACGGGAGGCAGCAGUAGGGAAUCUUCCGCAAUGGGCGAAAGCCUGACGGAGCAACGCCGCGUGAGUGAUGAAGGUCUUCGGAUCGUAAAACUCUGUUAUUAGGGAAGAACAUAUGUGUAAGUAACUGUGCACAUCUUGACGGUACCUAAUCAGAAAGCCACGGCUAACUACGUG